CCCAUUCCCCCCACCCCCACCCCACCACUCCCCACUAUGAUUUAGCGGCUGGCAUCCGGCGAUGCGGGGGUGGCGCGACUGCCGUAGCUAGGCUGCGGGGAGGGCGGUUGCCAGCGAGCACCAGGCUGCGACCCAACAGGAUGGCGACGACUGCCGGCCGGCGAUGUGGGGGAUGGCGCGAGUGCGGUGUCUAGGCAUCGGGGAGGGCGGCAGCCGGCAGGCACCUGACUGCGGCCCAGCAGGAUGGCGGCGGCCGACAGAGGCCGCCCGUGAGCACGCGUCGUCGGGAAGCUCCACGGCAGCUCGUCCGCAUCUGGUUGUUCUGCAUCUCGGGCCGGUUCCGACGAGCAUGGAGCCACCACUGGCCCCUGCACCUCCAUGUCUCCAGCCACCCGCCGGUCGCCCUCCUCCUCAGCUCUGCUGCCGCCAGCGCUUGCGUCGUCGGAGCGAAGAGUGGGGGGUCCUUGGCUCGCCGGCGCCGCCCAACCACCACGGGCGCGAAGAUGGUGUACUGCUGCUCGAGAUAUGGACCCGUGGAGAGAAACGCGCUUCACCGGCCAUAUCCGAGGCUUCUCCUCUAAGUGCUACAUUGACGGUUUGCCUCCGGUACUGAAUCUUCAGCGGCAAGGAGUUUGAGUUCGUGGGGCUCGCGCUCAGCUCCGAUAUUAGGGAAAGGUACCAAUCGCUAUGGUUCAAAACAAAUGGUUGUGCCUGUUACCUAAUCAGAUCAGGCUCUGACUGAAGCUACUCCAGUAUGCCCCAUGUUGUGUUUACUCAACAUCACAACAAGUAUUUUGUCUAUGCAUCAUGACAUUUUCUGUUUUUUAUACACAAAUUUGCCAUGUUUUUUUUAUGCUUUUUGCCAUGACACAGAGAUCAUUUUCACUAAAAAUUUCCAUAUCACUAGCCCCUAUCAUAGUCAUAAGUUCCACACUGUAGGCAAUUGUAGAUUAAGAAGGGUUGGCAAAUAAUUGAACAAGCAUAUCUAUGUUUCAUAAAACAUGGCAACUUUUGAAUCUCUAAUUCCUACCCUUUCGUUUUAGUAAGACCAUUUGCCAUGGCAAACUUUCAUCAAUUGACAUGGCAAAUUUACAAUUUUCAUUACCUACCAUUUUCUGGUUUUAGUAAAUAGUUGCCAUGGAAAUUAUUGAAAUGAAUUUGAUACGAAUUUCCAUACACCAUGGCAAAUUUCAUACAAAGGAUGGCAUUUUCAAUUAAAACACCAUGGCAAAUUUACAUAUCCAUUUGCCAUGGAAAUUUGUUCAUAAUUAUUGUGUUAAUUUACAUACUCGGUAAUUUUCUCAUUCAAAACCAUGGCAUUUUUAAUUGGAAUACCAUGUCAAAAUUUAAUACAAAUCUGCCAUGGAAACUAGAAGCUUAUGCUGCCAUGUUUGUUUUGCUAAUUUAGUACAUGUUUUUUUAAUAGAAGCUUUGUAGGUGUGUGCCAUGGCAAGUUGAAGCUUAGGUUUCCAUGACGACAACAUUUGUGUUGUGUCUUUUUUGCCCUAUCUAUCUGAAGAGUGUUUCCAUGGCAAUUACAUUUUUUGUUUGAGAACAUGGCAACUUUGAUCUUCUAACUUGACAAAUAUGCCAUCUUCAAAACAUGACGCUUCUUUUCUUUUGAAAACAUGGCACCAUGGCAACUUUGCCAUGUUCAGAAACAUGGUAAACAUUGCUCUAUAUGACAACAUUCAUGUGAUUUGCCAUGGCACUUCUUUAUCUGAAAACAUGACAAACUUGCCAUGUUCAAAAAGUUGCCAUGGCAACUUUUCUUUUAAUGACAUGUCAAAUUUUACUUAAUUUUUUGACAUGGCAAAUUUAUUGUAUAUAUCAUGGCAAUUUUAAUUUAAACUAGUGAGCUUGCACGUGCAAUGCACGUUUUGGUAGAAAUUCAUUAGAAAAUAAUAUUUAAAUAUGAAACUUACUUCCUCCGUCCCAUAAUGUAAGACGUUUUUUGGCACCAGUGUAGUGUCAAAAAACAUCUUACAUUAUGGGACGGAGGGAGUACAUUUUUAGUUUACAUAUAGCGAUAUCUUACAUGAGCAAUGGUUUACCGUACAUUUCACAUACUCUAUGAAUUUAAAUCUUGAUGUAAUAUGUACUUGACAAACUUUCCUAAAGCAUAUUGAAAUUAAAUCCGCCACCGGAAUUCACCAAUCAAGAAUCUUAAUGAACACCCGAAACAUUUCUUCCUAACCUAGAAAAAUACCUAUUCCAAUCCAGACACCUAUAUGGGGCCUAUCAGAUCAUCGCAAUGAAAAAAAUCAGAUAGGUAAGUUAAAAUUAAUCAUAAUAUAUUUCUCACAAUAUUACGACAUCUACAGUUCACCAUCAUUUAGCUGCUGAGACCUUCGCCGGUGUUGCCCAAAAAACACCCUCAUAGCUCAAUGUUCUCCUUGACAACAAUCUGCGGGCCUAAUCCUCUUUUUCUGCAUCUUUUAGCUCAUAUCGUUCCUUCCUUCCAGGCUACAUGUUAUUUCUAAUCAUAAUCUGCAAUUAUAAAACAAAUAAUGUAAGCUCACAUACAUUCUAUAGCAUAUAUAUUUCAAUUGCAGCUUCAUACACAAGGAAUAUAGUAAGCAUGCACAAGCAAUGCACGCCUCGACUGAUGUUACAACCAGAUAUGCAAAUUCUAAAGAUAUUAUGAUUACACUAAAAAUAUGACAAUCAACCUAUAAUUUGAAUGAUUUUCACGCAACACUACAAUUUAGCAUCAUAUCAUGGAGUGAAGACACCUGAUUACCUUAGUAUGUCUUAAUACACUAACCAGUUCUUGUACAACAUAAGGGGUGCAUGUUGUAUGCAGCUUCAUUCUUAGUGUAGUUGAUUAGAUGCACCAAAAUUCUUAUGUCACAACUAUACUUUAUGAGAACCACAUGUCAUUAUCUUGAGAGUUUUCAUGAGGUAGAAUAAAAAAAAUGAAAUAUUAAAUAUUCACCCUGCAAAUUGGUUGGUUCAAUUCUUUCUCGUUCCAUGAGUGCACAAACCAAAAAGCAAAAUAACCAGAUAGACAUACUACGUACAUUGGAAACCAAUUAAAAUCAUUCAGUGUUGAUUGCAUGCUUGUUUGUCUAUGGAACAUCUGUCUUGAAAGCAAUUCAGUGACAAUUGUUCUUCAUAAAAUCAACAGUUUGCUCGCUCCUUGUCUCAAGAGACAAAAAUGAAACCAAAUAUAUCUUUAGAUAAGUAAAUAUAGAAAUUUCAUCUAAAAAUAUAAUAUAAAACCAAUGUCAGCCAUAUGAGAGUUCCAUUUUGAUUCCUACAACCUCAUCUGAAAUCUCAACAAAUUAAAGUACAUUUAUGCAUAUUCAUCAAUGACAAAAUCAUUCAAGUUCGUGUAUGCUAUAAAGCAACGAAUCUGAUCUAUCUAAAUAUCAUGAAUAGAGAAUCACAAACUGCACACCCACAAAUAUAGUAUUUACGACAAUUAUUCCAAGGGAAAACAAGCUUUAAUAAAAAAGGCUCGAUCAUAUUUAUCCUUCAAGUUCAAACAGAAUCACUAUAUCAACACAUGAACAAAUAAUCACUUCCUUUCAGAUUUGCCAUUCUAAUUCAUCACCACAGAACAAGCAUAUAUUUCCAACAUACGUGACCAAACUACACUUAUGAAAUGAGGCAAAGUAGCGUACGAAUAUUUUGCCAGGGUGUUUUUUGUGAAGGAGUAUAAAGUCCUAAUGUAUAAGAUUGUGCAAAACAAGGACCGGCGUGGUGGAUAUAUGAAUUCCUCUAAGGUUAGCUGAUGGAUGCAACUCCAAAAACCAAGCAUGCUUUAUUUUGAACAAAAGGUCCAUGCCAACUUUAUUAGACAGACAUCAAGACAAGUGGAUGAUAGUCAGACAUUCAUUGGAAAAUAACUGCCAGUAUGACAAGGCUUUUUGUCACUGGAAUUUAGUCUUUCAACUUUAUAAAGAUUGGCAUAUAAUUGUAUGCUGCUAACAAAUGGCCCAGUACAGCGGUAUAAAUAAUAAUGUCGUCAUCAAGUCUAGGUCCUAGAUUGUUUAAAUGGCAGUACUGUUCAUGAAACAGGCAACCCGCGGUUCAAUAAAGCAUCUAAUUUACAUUAAAUCUAAGAUCGGAUGUGAUUGAUCUCUCUAUAUCUUACGGCUGAGCUGAUCAUAAUUACAGAAAACAACAUCAAAUAAAUUUUUGGUCUAGAUCAAACACCACCAAACAAUCUUCAGCAAGGAUAGCUAGAAUGGAUUUUAUCUCCAGUAAUAUUGGAACAAUGACUGCAAACAGAGGAGAUGGACCAGGACUUGCAUUACCAGAAUAAUGCCGGUGUUGACCUGCUGCCCCGGUGACACGAUGCCAAUGUCAUUCAACACGUCGUGCUGGUGAUGGUUGGGAUGUUGACGGCAGCUGCCACAUCCAGGCCAUUGGUGACCCCCGGUGACACGAUGCCAAUGUCAUUCAACACGUCGUGCUGGUGAUGGUUGGGAUGUUGACGGCAGCUGCCACAUCCAGGCCAUUGGCGACGGGAUGAGAGGACGUGUGCGGCA
Long non-coding RNA from Triticum aestivum (bread wheat), 4499 nucleotides. RefSeq lists it as uncharacterized. NCBI's taxonomy places the organism in Eukaryota, Viridiplantae, Streptophyta, Magnoliopsida, Poales, Poaceae. The transcript is spliced from 2 exons. The record is from RefSeq and is a predicted model, not a curated record.